Long non-coding RNA from Ipomoea nil (Japanese morning glory), 436 nucleotides. RefSeq lists it as uncharacterized. Lineage: Eukaryota; Viridiplantae; Streptophyta; Magnoliopsida; Solanales; Convolvulaceae. The transcript has 3 exons. The record is from RefSeq and is a predicted model, not a curated record.
UCAAGGAGAACAAAAAUUUCCCUUGCUUCUUCUUUCUUCCCCAUUCGGCAAUUAAAAAAAAAAAAAAACAAACUUCUUCCAUUUCUUUCCUUCAAGAAUUGAAGUGGUUCCUUCCAGCUUAAAGAGGAGGAUUUGAACAAUCCAGGCUUAGAGUAAUUGAGGACAAUAAGCUUUCAAGUUUCUUUUGCAGGUACACCUUGCAUGACAUUGGGAGCAUGAGAGCGAUUUAUCCUUUAGAGAUUUGGAGUUUUAUUUUGUUAGAAAAUUUAGAAGUUGUACCUAGACAAUUGUAUUAUUUGAGUUAUUAGACUAGUCUUAGUUUUUGGUUGUUUUUGGUAGUGUUGGUUUUAGCCUGUGCGUUUAGAUAUAGCUUGUAUUGAAACGUGGCGGUAGCAUCCCUUUUUCCUUGUUUUGUUUAGCUUCCGCAAGUAAAUAA